RNAcentral lists this ribosomal RNA (1090 nucleotides) under Limosilactobacillus fermentum. RNAcentral's name for it is "bacterial SSU rRNA". It matches the Rfam family "Bacterial small subunit ribosomal RNA", at positions 11 to 1055 of the family's 1533-position model. Lineage: Bacteria; Bacillati; Bacillota; Bacilli; Lactobacillales; Lactobacillaceae. The record is from RNAcentral.
GUUUUGAUCAUGGCUCAGGAUGAACGCCGGCGGUGUGCCUAAUACAUGCAAGUCGAACGCGUUGGCCCAAUUGAUUGAUGGUGCUUGCACCUGAUUGAUUUUGGUCGCCAACGAGUGGCGGACGGGUGAGUAACACGUAGGUAACCUGCCCAGAAGCGGGGGACAACAUUUGGAAACAGAUGCUAAUACCGCAUAACAACGUUGUUCGCAUGAACAACGCUUAAAAGAUGGCUUCUCGCUAUCACUUCUGGAUGGACCUGCGGUGCAUUAGCUUGUUGGUGGGGUAAUGGCCUACCAAGGCGAUGAUGCAUAGCCGAGUUGAGAGACUGAUCGGCCACAAUGGGACUGAGACACGGCCCAUACUCCUACGGGAGGCAGCAGUAGGGAAUCUUCCACAAUGGGCGCAAGCCUGAUGGAGCAACACCGCGUGAGUGAAGAAGGGUUUCGGCUCGUAAAGCUCUGUUGUUAAAGAAGAACACGUAUGAGAGUAACUGUUCAUACGUUGACGGUAUUUAACCAGAAAGUCACGGCUAACUACGUGCCAGCAGCCGCGGUAAUACGUAGGUGGCAAGCGUUAUCCGGAUUUAUUGGGCGUAAAGAGAGUGCAGGCGGUUUUCUAAGUCUGAUGUGAAAGCCUUCGGCUUAACCGGAGAAGUGCAUCGGAAACUGGAUAACUUGAGUGCAGAAGAGGGUAGUGGAACUCCAUGUGUAGCGGUGGAAUGCGUAGAUAUAUGGAAGAACACCAGUGGCGAAGGCGGCUACCUGGUCUGCAACUGACGCUGAGACUCGAAAGCAUGGGUAGCGAACAGGAUUAGAUACCCUGGUAGUCCAUGCCGUAAACGAUGAGUGCUAGGUGUUGGAGGGUUUCCGCCCUUCAGUGCCGGAGCUAACGCAUUAAGCACUCCGCCUGGGGAGUACGACCGCAAGGUUGAAACUCAAAGGAAUUGACGGGGGCCCGCACAAGCGGUGGAGCAUGUGGUUUAAUUCGAAGCUACGCGAAGAACCUUACCAGGUCUUGACAUCUUGCGCCAACCCUAGAGAUAGGGCGUUUCCUUCGGGAACGCAAUGACAGGUGGUGCAUGGUCGUCGU